Molecule: ribosomal RNA, 200 nt
Filed under: uncultured bacterium
Lineage: Bacteria
Description: partial 16S ribosomal RNA
Rfam family: Bacterial small subunit ribosomal RNA
Source: RNAcentral
AAUGAACGCUGGCGGCAGGCCUAAAACAUGCAAGUCGAACGCUGUAGCAAUACAGAGUGGCGCACGGGUGAGUAACAUGUGGGAAUAUGCCUUUUGGUACGGAACAACGUUUGGGAACGAACGCUAAUACCGUAUGGUCCCUUCGGGGUAAAGAUUUAUCGCCAAAAGAUUAGCCCGCACUAGAUUAGCUAGUUGGUGAG